UACAGAGGUCUCAAGCGUUGUUCGGAUUCAUUGGGCGUAAAGGGUGCGUAGGCGGCGCGGUAAGUCGGGUGUGAAAUCUUGGAGCUUAACUCCGAAACUGCAUUCGAUACUGCCGUGCUUGAGGACUGGAGAGGAGACUGGAAUUUACGGUGUAGCGGUGAAAUGCGUAGAUAUCGUAAGGAAGACCGGUGGCGAAGGCGGGUCUCUGGACAGUUCCUGACGCUGAGGCACGAAGGCCAGGGGAGCAAACGGG
This 253-nucleotide ribosomal RNA is filed under the name uncultured bacterium. RNAcentral describes it as "partial 16S ribosomal RNA". It matches the Rfam family "Bacterial small subunit ribosomal RNA", at positions 524 to 776 of the family's 1533-position model. The record is from RNAcentral.